UAGCAUAUCAAUAAGCGGAGGAAAAGAAACCAACAGGGAUUGCCNUAGUAACGGCGAGUGAAGCGGCAACAGCUCAAAUUUGAAAUCUGGCUACCUUUCGUAGUCCGAGUUGUAAUUUGUAGAGGAUGCUUUUGGUGAGGUGCCUUCCGAGUUCCCUGGAACGGGACGCCAUAGAGGGUGAGAGCCCCGUACGGUUGGAUACCAAACCUCUGUAUAGCUCCUUCAACGAGUCGAGUAGUUUGGGAAUGCUGCUCUAAAUGGGAGGUAUAUCUCUUCUAAAGCUAAAUAUAGGCUAGAGACCGAUAGCGCACAAGUAGAGUGAUCGAAAGAUGAAAAGCACUUUGAAAAGAGAGUUAAACAGCACGUGAAAUUGUUGAAAGGGAAGCGCCUAUGACCAGACUUGUUUCUGGCAGUUUCGUUAGCCCUCGGGCUGAUUUACUCUGUCCAGUACAGGCCAGCAUCAGUUUGCUGUCGGGGAGAAAGGCUCUGGGAACGUAGCUCCCCCCUUCUGGGGGGAGUGUUAUAGCCCUCUGCAUAAUACCCUUCGGCAGACUGAGGACCGCGCUUCGGCAAGGAUGCUGGCGUAAUGGUCAUCAGCGACCCGUCUUGAAACACGGACCAAGGAGUCAACCUUAUGUGCGAGUGUUUGGGUGUAAAACCCCAGCGCGUAAUGAAAGUGAACGUAGGUGAGAGCUUCGGCGCAUCAUCGACCGAUUCUGAUGUUUUCGGAUGGAUUUGAGUAAGAGCACACAGGGUUGGACCCGAAAGAAGGUGAACUAUGCUUGUAUAGGGUGAAGCCAGAGGAAACUCUGGUGGAGGCUCGCAGCGGUUCUGACGUGCAAAUCGAUCGUCAAAUAUGAGCAUGGGGGCGAAAGACUAAUCGAACCUUCUAGUAGCU
Molecule: ribosomal RNA, 898 nt
Filed under: Ceratocystis adelpha
Lineage: Eukaryota; Fungi; Ascomycota; Sordariomycetes; Microascales; Ceratocystidaceae
Description: eukaryotic LSU rRNA
Rfam family: Eukaryotic large subunit ribosomal RNA
Source: RNAcentral